Molecule: transfer RNA, 73 nt
Filed under: Lachnospiraceae bacterium
Lineage: Bacteria; Bacillati; Bacillota; Clostridia; Lachnospirales; Lachnospiraceae
Also listed under: 1 other name
Description: tRNA-Phe
Rfam family: tRNA
About the family: Transfer RNA (tRNA) molecules are approximately 80 nucleotides in length. Their secondary structure includes four short double-helical elements and three loops (D, anti-codon, and T loops).
Source: RNAcentral
GCCCAGAUAGCUCAGUUGGUAGAGCAAUGGACUGAAAAUCCAUGUGUCACUGGUUCGAUUCCGGUUCUGGGCA